UUAGGAAUUUUGGGCAAUGGGCGAAAGCCUGACCCAGCAACGCCGCGUGGGUGAAGAAGGUCUUCGGAUCGUAAAGCCCUUUUCUGUGGGAAGAUGAUGACGGUACCACAGGAAUAAGCAUCGGCUAACUACGUGCCAGCAGCCGCGGUAAUACGUAGGAUGCGAGCGUUGUCCGGAUUUAUUGGGCGUAAAGAGCGCGCAGGCGGUUAGGAAAGUUGGAUGUGAAAGACCCUGGCUUAACUAGGGGAGGUCAUUCAAAACUAUCUAGCUUGAGGGCAGCAGAGGAAAGUGGAAUUCCCGGUGUAGUGGUGAAAUGCGUAGAUAUCGGGAGGAACACCAGUGGCGAAGGCGGCUUUCUGGGCUGUCACUGACGCUGAGGCGCGAAAGCGUGGGUAGCGAACCGA
Molecule: ribosomal RNA, 404 nt
Filed under: uncultured bacterium
Lineage: Bacteria
Description: bacterial SSU rRNA
Rfam family: Bacterial small subunit ribosomal RNA
Source: RNAcentral